RNAcentral lists this ribosomal RNA (468 nucleotides) under uncultured bacterium. RNAcentral's name for it is "partial 16S ribosomal RNA". It matches the Rfam family "Bacterial small subunit ribosomal RNA", at positions 28 to 507 of the family's 1533-position model. The record is from RNAcentral.
GACGAACGCUGGCGGCGUGCUUAACACAUGCAAGUCGAACGGUGAAGCUCCAGCUUGCUGGAGUGGAUCAGUGGCGAACGGGUGAGUAACACGUGGGCAACCUGCCCCUGACUCUGGAAUAAGCGCUGGAAACGGCGUCUAAUACUGGAUACGAGAAGGGUCCGCAUGGGCACUUUCUGGAAAGUUUUUCGGUUGGGGAUGGGCUCGCGGCCUAUCAGCUUGUUGGUGAGGUAAUGGCUCACCAAGGCGACGACGGGUAGCCGGCCUGAGAGGGCGACCGGCCACACUGGGACUGAGACACGGCCCAGACUCCUACGGGAGGCAGCAGUGGGGAAUAUUGCACAAUGGGCGAAAGCCUGAUGCAGCGACGCCGCGUGAGGGAUGACGGCCUUCGGGUUGUAAACCUCUUUCAGCAGGGAAGAAGCGAAAGUGACGGUACCUGCAGAAGAAGCACCGGCUAACUACGUG